RNAcentral lists this long non-coding RNA (1790 nucleotides) under Anas platyrhynchos platyrhynchos (common mallard). RNAcentral describes it as "lncRNA (ENSAPLG00000027599.1)". The record is from RNAcentral. Lineage: Eukaryota; Metazoa; Chordata; Aves; Anseriformes; Anatidae.
UGCACCACACUGGCAGCAUCUGGAGCUGCCAUCGCUCUGCUUUCCUGGUCCCCUGUGCUUUCCUUCCCAGUGUGAACAGGGCGUUGCUCCAGCUCUGAGGAAUUCCAUGAUGGACAGCGUGAGUCCAGGCAGUUCUGCUGGAGCAGUUGUCAGCUCCCAGAGCAGACCAGAAGCUUUUCUUCCCACAGCUGCUACUGGAAUUUACCACUUCUUCAAGCAGAGCUGUGCAGGUAAACGCCGCGGAGAGGAUCUGGAAUCUGUUUGCUUUCCUGUACAACUGUUGCAGUAAAGAGGUAAGGAGCCAGGCACCCACCAGCCAGUCCAUCUCCCUUUCCCUUCUCAUGGAUUCUCAUGGGGACCAUGAGCACGGCUCUGCCCUGAAGGGUCUUUGUUCCUCCUUUCCCCUGACUGAAUGUGUCAUAUCUUCCUUCCUUCUUUCCAUAGCCAUUUGGAAAAUACCUCCAGCCUUCUCAGAGGACAGCCAUCAUCCUCAAGACUCUUGACAUAAUGAGUAGCUACAGCACCGAAGAUGAUGAGCAUUUUGGGGCCGAAUUCAUGGUGGACAUAGCAGUUGAAGACCCUGCCACCUGGCUGAUGGAUGUGCCAAAGAUUCUGAGGUUCAUCCAUGAAAGCCUGAGUAACUGCAGAGAUUCAGACCACCAGAAACUCUUCUCAGUACUUUCCACAAUGGCCAACCAGUUUCCUAGGGAAGUGCUCCUAAGCAUCUUGACAGACCUCCCGACACUUGACAGGUACCAGCCCCAGAAGCCCUGGGGGCUUUUUCUAUGUGGGGAGAAGGACCUGGAGAAUCUCUGGCCCCUCCAUCGCAUGGUGCGCAUCCUCCCAGUGGAGUGGGCCCCUCCAUCGCACGGUGCUCGCCAGCCCUGUUGGGGCAGCCAGGGUCUCAGCAUCCAGACCAGACCAAGGCAGCCCAGAGACCCCAUCACACUCCCUCCUGCCCCACAGGGAGCACCACCUCAGGCCCCUCCUGCUUGCCCAGCCUGGUCCCCCAGGGCUCCCUAAGCACGGGGUGGCGAGGUCCAGGGCUGCAGGACAGCCCGGGGCCUGCGGGGUUGGUCUGGGUCAUGGCGCUGUGACCAGGGCAGCCCUGCCAACAGUGUGUUCUGGGCUUGCAGCACUACGCUGGACAUCUGGAAGGCGAUGGUUUCCCUUCCAGUGACUUCAGAGAAGAUCUUGCAGGAGCUAUGGAAUGUUCUCCAGGACAACGAAGUGUGCAGCUUCUUUGCAGUCAGCGCCGCGGACUUAAGCAUCUUUCACUUUGCUGUGAGUAACCAGACAACACACCUUGUUCCCCUUUGGGGCUAUGUGUGCUCCUCCAGGAAAACAGGCACAGUCCUCUCCCCAUCCCAUCUUCUCCAACCUGUCACCUCUUCCAGGACACAAGGACACAGCCCCUUAGGGCCAGCACCAGCCCCCCCUCCACCAGCCAUGCGGGGUCCGUGUGCUCAGACAUGAAGCCUGCCCCUUUCCUGGCAGUGCUGUCUUUCCCCCGGCUCCUGGCAAUGACUGGGGCAGAGUCAGGACAAUGUCUGGGGCUGGGGCAGAGCCAUGGCCUCUGCACGGGCUGAGCAAGCUGUGAGGCCAGGGACUAGUAGCACCUGUAGCCACCUGCUUCCAGUGCCUGCUUUGUGCCAGAUGGUGCUGGUCAGUCGCUCCUCAGAGGUGUGAGACCAAGAGGCUGCGGAUGGCCAGAGGGAAGGAGGAGCAGGCAAAGAAAGGAUGCUCUGUGUUGCCAGGCGCAGGGCACACAGGAGCCACACACUCCUCCG